This 313-nucleotide unclassified non-coding RNA is filed under the name fungal sp. Its description in RNAcentral is "partial internal transcribed spacer region". The stretch from base 1 to 46 matches the Rfam family "Eukaryotic small subunit ribosomal RNA", at positions 1786 to 1831 of the family's 1831-position model. Lineage: Eukaryota; Fungi. The record is from RNAcentral.
AAGUCGUAACAAGGUUUCCGUAGGUGAACCUGCGGAAGGAUCAUUAACACAUAGUCCAUUUGAUGAUGGUUGAAGUGUAUUCUUUUUUAGAGAAUUUUUUCUCUUUAUUGAUACAUUCUCCAUCAUUCAAACCAAUUAGCAAAUGAGUUGAAGUCCUCAUUAUUAAUUAACUUUAAUAAUUGUGUGGAAUAAAACAAAUGUAAUCACGUUUAAUGAAUUCUUUUAAAAAAAAAAGAAUUCAUUCGACUAAUGUUUACUCAAAAAAACAAAUAUAACCAAGACAACUUGUAACAGUGGAUACCUUGGUUCCCAG